GUGGCUGGUUAACCCCUUCCCUGCCCGAAGUGCCACCUCUCUGCUAAUCUUAAUUGGUGCCAAGCGGUGUCACUGGAGUGUUCUGCAAGCUCUGGCCCCUCCUGCCACUGCUGAAUUGUUUCCAGCAGAGGUGGCAGAAGGGCUGCGGGCCCGUGGCUAGGGUGGGAGGCAGCAGCCCAGGACAGCACCCUGGACACUGCCCUGCCCCAGGGAUGGUCCAUCCGGAGCCAGCCUCUGCCAGCUCCGGGGUGGCAGCCGACCACGGAUCCAAGUCAAAGAGUUGCCUUUGUUUCAUGGGGAGGAUUAAACCACGAGCUGCUCGUCAGCUGAACUUUGAAGUGUCUCCUCAGUGAUCUGAAAUUCGAUCAUGCAACAGAGAGACCUCUACAAAUACUCUUUUUGUGUUUGAAGCUGGAGACCAUCCAGUGGUUUAUUUUUAGGCACACAUUUGCACUGGCCCUGUUACAAUCCUGCCUCUGUUCUUGUGCAAUAAAAGGCAGAGAGGAUUCUCUUGACCUCCAGUAUCAAAUACAGAGAAAAUAAGGCAUUUGUCUGGAAAAGAACACCCAAAAUAGCAGGGAAGAGGUCAUGCUGUGCUAUGGACUGUUAGUGUUGAGAGACAAGAAAAAUGAGGAUUAUAGGAGCUGGCAGACUUCUUCUAAUGACACAUUCAUGAACACUGCUGGAAAAUUAUAUGUCAAUGCUAAUGAGUAUUUGUAGGUUUAAUGACCUGAGGUCUUUCCCUUUUACACUAAACACAUGCCUGAGAGUAAGAAAUAAUCCCUGCUGAGGUGAGUUCUCAGCUUUCUUCUAGGAUUUGUUCUAGAUCCAGAGCAUUUCCUUUGCUACACACAGAAACUGAUGCUCCUGCAUCAAGCAGUUCCUGUUCCCUGAACUCCUCACAGCCCCUCCCCAGGCUUUGCAACACCCUGAUGCAGACAGUCAUCACUACAUGCAUUUUCUGUCUUGCCCCCUCCUUGAAGAAGCUGGGGAAAGAGCCCAGAGGACCUGACUGGAUGUUUCAUUUCUGUCACAUCAGCAGGGCCAUCUGCACCAGGCAUUUCUCACUGACAAGAGAAGGAAGGUUAAAACCUCUCAUGACAGGUUAACAGCAUGAUUUGCAGCAACAGCUUCAAUAAAUGGUUGCAGGCAUGAAAGAGUAGCAGGCAGCUAAUCCUUUAAAGACUUAAGAGCAGCUACUACUUCAGCCCAAGUAAAUAUUUCAAAACAAAAUUAAUUAGUGGUGACUAGUGGAUUUGCUGCCCUUUGCUUUAACAGCCCAGGAUGAAACGGCGAUUCCUCCACAGAAUUUUUGCUUCAGUGCCAAACCUGCUGUUUCACAGGAGCUGAAAGUCCUCUCAAAUAAGAUUCAUCCCAGUUUUGUUCCUCUCUGAACGUCAGCGUGUUCUCAGAAUCACAGUCACAGAAUGUCCUAAGCUAGAAGGAACCCCCAAGGAUCAUCCAAGUCCAGUUCCUUCUCCUGUCCCUUUCAUUUAUCCCACUUAGGUGACCCUCCCUUCCCAAAAUGCUUCCUCUUCUCCCACCCUCUUUGCUUUUUCCAUCUAAACUUCCACUUCCUCUCCCCGCUCCCCAAACCCAAAUAAACAGGUUUUUGUCCCCUA
This is a non-coding RNA of Lonchura striata (white-rumped munia), 1622 nucleotides long. NCBI's taxonomy places the organism in Eukaryota, Metazoa, Chordata, Aves, Passeriformes, Estrildidae. The record is from RefSeq and is a predicted model, not a curated record.